AGAGAAGAAGAUGCUGGGAUAAGGAUGAACUCGGAACAAGAUGAGAGCUAGGAGUUUGGAUUCGGCUGGGAUUGGUUCCGAAACAGGGGAAGAGCAUGUGAAGCUCGGGUUGCUGGGAACAAACGCUGGGAGAUGAUCGCGGAUCAAGCCGGAAGAGAAGGACGAUGAAGUUAAUCCAAAUGCUGGGAAGGAUUUGGAAGAGGAGGAAGGUUGGAUUCGGAAUGAGCAUGGGAUACGGGAGCUAGAAGAUAAGGAUGAUAGUUUUGAAGUAGGGGAGGAUGCAUUUGGACGUUGGGAGAAUGAUCCUGAGUUCGGUAGGUGAUGAAGACGAGCUCCUAAGAUUUGUUUCGCU
Molecule: long non-coding RNA, 352 nt
Filed under: Phoenix dactylifera (date palm)
Lineage: Eukaryota; Viridiplantae; Streptophyta; Magnoliopsida; Arecales; Arecaceae
Description: long non-coding RNA (PDAC_LNC014051)
Source: RNAcentral